Molecule: transfer RNA, 73 nt
Filed under: Deltaproteobacteria bacterium
Lineage: Bacteria; Pseudomonadati; Myxococcota; Myxococcia
Description: tRNA-Asn
Rfam family: tRNA
About the family: Transfer RNA (tRNA) molecules are approximately 80 nucleotides in length. Their secondary structure includes four short double-helical elements and three loops (D, anti-codon, and T loops). Further hydrogen bonds mediate the characteristic L-shaped molecular structure. tRNAs have two regions of fundamental functional importance: the anti-codon, which is responsible for specific mRNA codon recognition, and the 3' end, to which the tRNAs corresponding amino acid is attached (by aminoacyl-tRNA synthetases). tRNAs cope with the degeneracy of the genetic code in two manners: having more than one tRNA (with a specific anti-codon) for a particular amino acid; and 'wobble' base-pairing, i.e. permitting non-standard base-pairing at the 3rd anti-codon position.
Source: RNAcentral
UCCGGCAUAGCUCAGUCGGUAGAGCAAGCGGCUGUUAACCGCUAGGUCACUGGUUCGAGUCCAGUUGCCGGAG